GAUGAACGCUGGCGGCGUGCUUAAUACAUGCAAGUCGAUCGAACAGACGAGGAGCUUGCUCCUCUGACGUUAGCGGCGGACGGGUGAGUAACACGUGGAUAACCUACCUAUAAGACUGGGAUAACUUCGGUAAACCGGAGCUAAUACCUGCUAAUAUAUUGAACCGCAUGGUUCAAUAGUGAAAGACGGUUUUGCUGUCACUUAUAGAUGGAUCCGCGCCGCAUUAGCUAGUUGGUAAGGUAACGGCUUACCAAGGCAACGAUGAGUAGCCGACGUGAGAGGGUGAUCGGCCACACUGGAACUGAGACACGGUCAAGACCCCUACGGAAGGGAGCAGUAGGGAAUCUUCCGCAGAGGGCGAAAGCCUGACGGAGCAACGCCGCGUGAGUGAUGAAGGUCUUCGGACCGUAAAACUCUGUUAUUAGGGAAGAACAAAUGUGUAAGUAACUAUGCACGUCUUGACGGUACCUAAUCAGAAAGCCACGGCUAACUCCGUG
This 497-nucleotide ribosomal RNA is filed under the name uncultured bacterium. RNAcentral's name for it is "partial 16S ribosomal RNA". It matches the Rfam family "Bacterial small subunit ribosomal RNA", at positions 28 to 507 of the family's 1533-position model. The record is from RNAcentral.